This 24-nucleotide non-coding RNA is filed under the name Arabidopsis thaliana (thale cress). Lineage: Eukaryota; Viridiplantae; Streptophyta; Magnoliopsida; Brassicales; Brassicaceae. The record is from RNAcentral.
CUAGGAUUGCCUAUAAAUAGACCU